CAAGUUUAAAGUGUUAUAGAAAGGACAAAAAAAGAAUUAGGUCAAAAGAAGCAACAGAAAAAAAAUGAUAAAUCUUUUAAAAUCAGAGUGCAAAUCUGAGGCGCUCCAGCUGGCCUAACUGAACACCAAAAUUGCAAAAUUUAUUAAAAAAAAAAUGGUGCAUGCGUUUUGAGUGAUUCCAAAGCCAGAUUUUAGAUAAGAUCCUG
This 206-nucleotide long non-coding RNA is filed under the name Phaseolus vulgaris (common bean). RNAcentral's name for it is "long non-coding RNA (PVUL_LNC004337)". The record is from RNAcentral. Lineage: Eukaryota; Viridiplantae; Streptophyta; Magnoliopsida; Fabales; Fabaceae.